This 477-nucleotide ribosomal RNA is filed under the name uncultured bacterium. RNAcentral's name for it is "partial 16S ribosomal RNA". It matches the Rfam family "Bacterial small subunit ribosomal RNA", at positions 28 to 507 of the family's 1533-position model. The record is from RNAcentral.
GAUUAACGCUGGCGGCGUGCAUAACACAUGCAAGUCGAACGAUGAAACUUAAAUGAUUUCUUCGGAAUGAACUUAAGUGGAUUAGUGGCGGACGGGUGAGUAACGCGUGAGUAACCUGCCUUACACAAGGGGAUAGCCGUUGGAAACGACGAAUAAUACCCUAUGAAACUAUCACUUCGCAUGAAGCGAUAGUCAAAGUGUUAGCGGUGUAAGAUGGACUUGCGUCUGAUUAGCUAGUUGGUGAGAAAAAAGCCCACCAAGGCAACGAUCAGUAGCCGGCUUGAGAGAGUGUACGGCCACAUUGGGACUGAGACACGGCCCAGACUCCUACGGGAGGCAGCAGUGGGGAAUUGUGCACAAUGGGGGAAACCCUGAUGCAGCGACGCCGCGUGAUUUAGAAGGCCUUCGGGUUGUAAAAAUCUUUUGUAUAGGAAGAAAAUGACAGUACUAUACGAAUAAGGUCCGGCUAAUUACGUG